Molecule: long non-coding RNA, 43121 nt
Filed under: Marmota monax (woodchuck)
Lineage: Eukaryota; Metazoa; Chordata; Mammalia; Rodentia; Sciuridae
Source: RNAcentral
UUCUUUAUCUUAUUUCAGGAACUAGUGACAUUCAGGGAUGUGACCAUUGAUUUCUCUGAAGAGGAAUGGGAAUGCCUGGAACCUGCUCAGAAGAAUUUAUACAGAGAUGUGAUGUUAGAGAACUAUAGAAACCUGGUCUUCCUGGGUGAGGAUAACUUUCUUUGGGAUUUCUAAAUAAGUAUUAAUAUUUAAUUUUCUUUACUUGAAGAAUAUUUUUUUUACAUCUAAAACCUAGUUUUAUUUAUUUGGUUUUUUUUAAAUUUUUUAUUGUUGGUUGUUCAAAACAUUACAUAGUUCUUGAUAUAUCAUAUUUCACACUUUGAUUUGUUCUUUUUUAAACUUAAAUUUUUUUCUAAUUAGUUUUAUAUGAGAGUAAAACACAUUUUGACACAUCAUACAUAAAUGGAGUAUAACUUCUAAUUCUUCUGUUUGUACCUGAUGUAGAAUUACAGAAGUCAUAUAAUCAUAUAUUCACCUAGGAUAAAAGUGAUUCAUUCUACUAUCCUUUCUACACCUUUAACCUCUCCUCUUUCUUCAAUCUCCUCCAUCUAAUCUAAAGUACCUCUGUUUUUCCCUAGCUACCCCCUUAAUGUGAAUUAUUUGCAUUCUAGAGAAAAUAUUUGGCCUUUGGUUCUUUGGGAUUGGCUUAUUUCACUUAGCAUAAUGUUUCCCAGUUGUAUCCUUUUACCAGCAAAGCCAUAUAUCACUCUUGUUUUUGGCUGAGUAAUAUUUCACUGUGUAAAUGUACCAUUUUUUUUUUUUUAUCCAUUCAUCUGUUGAAGAGCACCUAGGUUGGUUCCAUAAUUGAGCUGUUGUGAAUUGAGCUCCUAUAUACAUUGAUGUGGCUAUAUUUAUAGAAUGCCGAUUUUAAGUUCUUUGAGUAUAAACUGAGGAGUGGGAUAACUGGGUCAAAUUGUGUUUUCAUUACAAGUUUUAUUUUAAGGAAUCUCCACACAGCAUUCCAGAAUGGUUGCACCAAUUUGCAGUCCUACUCCCCACAUCUUUGCCACAUUCAUGUUGCUUGUACUCUUAAUAGUUUUUAUUCUGACAAGUGAGAGGAAGUCUAAGUGUAGUUUUGAUUUCCAUUUCUCUAAUUGCUGGAGAUGUUGAACAUUUUUUCAAAUAUUUGUUGAUCAAUUGCAAUUCUUCUGUGAAAUUUCUUAGUUCCAUUUAUUGAUUGGGUUAUUUGUUCUUUUGGUGUUAAGUGUUUGGUUCUUUAUAUUUCCUGAAGAUAAUGCUCAUUCUGAAGUACACGUGGCAAAGAUUGCUCCCAAUUUGUAGUCUGUCUAUUCAUGUUCUCAUUGUUUUUUUUUUCUGUAAAGAAGCUUAUUAGUUUGGUGCAUCCUAUUUAUUGAUUCUUGAUUUUACUUCUUGCAGUUUAGGAGUCUUGUUAAGGAAAUCAGUUCCUAACCUGACAUGGUGAAGAUUUGGUGCUAUUUUUUCUUCUAUUAGGUGAUGGACCUCAAUUCUAUUGCCUAAGUCUUUGAUCCACUUUGAGUUGAUUUUUGUGCAGGAUGAGAGAUAGGGGUUUAAUCUCAUUUUGCUACAUAUGGAUUUCCAGUUUUUCCAGCACAGUUGUUGAAGAGGCUAUCUUUUCUCCAAUGAAUGCUUUCAGUUCUUUCUUUCUAAUAUGAGAUAAUUGUAAUUCUGUGAGUUUAUGUGUCUUUUAUUCUAUACCAUUUUUCUACAUGUUUGUUUUGGUGCAAUAGCAUUCUGUUUUUUUACUAUAUCUCUGUAAUAUCAUUUAAGUUCUGGUAUUGUGAUGCCUCCUGCUUCACUUGUCUUUCUAAAGGCUGCUUUGGCUAUUCUGAGCCUCUUAAUUUUCCAAAUAAAUUUUAAGAUUGCUUUUUCUGUUUCUAUGAAGACUGUCAUUGGUAUUUUAGUAGGAAUUUUGUUAAAUCUUUAUAAUGCUUUUAAUGGUAUGGCCAUUUUGACAGUGUGAAUUCUGCCUUUCCAAGAGCAUGGGAGAAUGGGAGAUCGUUCCAUCUUUCAUGGUCUUCUUCAAUUUCUUUCUUUAGUAUUGUGUAGUUUUAAUUGUAGGGGUCUUUCACCUUUUUUGUUAGAUUGAUUCCCAAAUAUAUAUAUAUAUACACACACACACACACACUUUUUUUUUUUUUAAUUUGAGGGUUCUUGUGAAUGUGGUAGUUUUUCUAGUUUCUCUUUCAUGUGAUUCAUCAGUGAUGUACAAGAACAUGUUUGAUUUGUGGGUGUUGAUUCUGUAUCCUGCUGCUUUGCUGAAUUCAUUUAUUAGUUCUAAAUUUUCCAGUGAUAAUUUUUGGGUCUUUUGAAAAUAGAAAUGUAUUGUUAGGAAAUAGUGAUAGUUUGAGUUAUUUUUCUGUUAGUUUCCAUUUAAUUUAUUUCUUUUGUCUUAAGUUCUCUGGAAGGGUUUUCAAGGAUGAUGUUAAAUAAAAGUGGUGAAAGAGGGCAUCCUUGUCUUGUUCCAGUUCUUAGGAGAAUUCGUUCAUUUUGUUUUUUUCACCAUUUAGAAUGAUGUUGUCCUUGAGUAUAGCAUAUGUAGCAUUUAUAAUGUUGAAGUAUAUAACUACUAUUCAUAGCUUUUUUUUGAACAUAUGUUGAUGCUAUAUUUUGUGAAAUGCUUUUUAUGCAUCAAUUGAGAUAAUUACGAUUCUCGUCUUUAAUUUUAUUGUUUUGAUGAAUUAUGCUUAUUGAUUUCUUAUGUUGAACGAGCCUUGCAUCCCUGGAGUGAACUCCACUUAUUUUAAUUAUGUUUUUAUUUGUGAUUUGCCAUGAUUUUCUUGAGAAGUUUUUCAUCUAUGUUCAUCAAGAAUAUUGGUCUACAGUUUUCUUUCCUUUAUGUGUCUUUGUCUGCUUUUUGUUAUCAGGAUGAGCUUCAUGAGAUGAGUUUGGACGGUUCUCUUUUUUUUGUUUUCAUGAAAUGAUUUGAGGACUGUUGGUGUUAAUUCUUUGAAUUUCUGCUGGAAUUUGUCUUAGAAUCCACUUGGUUUGUAGAAGUUGGCUGAUAAUCCAUUUGGUCCUCGGCUUUUUUUUUUUUUUUGAUAGCACCUUCUAUCUUAUUAGUUGAAAUUGAUGUGUUUAAAUUGUAUGUGUCCUCCUGAUUCAGUUUGGUUCCGUCAUAUGUCUCUAAAAAUUUGUCGACCUCUUCAAGAUUUUCUAUUUUAUUGUAUUAUAAUUUUUUGAAGUAGUUUCUGAUUAUCAUCUGUGUUUCAGUAGUGUCCAUCAUGAUAUUUCCUUUUUCAUCACAAAUUUUAGUAAUUUGACUUGUUCUCUUUCUCUUAAUUAGUGUGGCUGUGUUUAUCUAUUUUAUUUAUUUUUUAAAACAUUUUUUUUGUUUUAAUUUAUUAUAUGACAGCACAAUGCAUUACAAUUCUAUAACAUGUAUAGAGCUCAAAAUUUCAUAUCUCUGGUUGUACACAAAGGAGAGUCACAUCAUUCAUGUCUUCAUAGAUGUACUCAGGGUAAUGAUGUCUAUCUCAUCUCACUGUUUUUCCUACCCCUGCGCCCCUCCCUUUCCUUCCCUCCUCUUUGCCCUAUCUAGACUUCAUCUAAUCCUCUUCUCCACCACAGCAUUAUGAAUUAGCAUCCUUAAAUUAGAGCAAACAUUUGGCAUUUGUUUUUUAGGAUUGGCUAACUUCACUUAGCAUUAUAUUCUCCAACUUCAUUCAUUUAUCUGCAAAUGCUGUGAUUUUAUUCUCUCUUAUUGCUGAGUAAUAUUUUAUUGGGUAUUUUCUUUAUCCAUUCAUCAACCGAGACACAACUAGGUUAUUUCCACACUUUAGCUAUUGUGAAUCUUGCUGCUAUAAACAUUGAUAUGGAUGUGUCCCUGUAGUAUGCUGUUUUUAAGUCCUUUGGAUAUAGACCAAGGAGUGGGAAACCUUGGUCAAAUGUUGGUUCUAUUCCCAGUUUUCCAAGGAGUCUCCAUACUGCAUUCCGUAUUGGCUGCACCAAUUUGCAGUCCCACCAGCAAUGCAUGAGUGUGCCUUUUUCCCCACAUCGUCAUCAACUUGUUUUUUGCCCUUGAUUUCUUCUGCUAUGCAUUGGUUGCAUUGGUUGUUCAAUGUUAGAUUAGCUUCAGUUUUUUGUUUUGUUUUGUUUUGUUUGUUUGUUUUACUUUAUCAUUGAUUUCUAAUUGUUUUUUCCAUUAUGAUCUGUUAGAAUGCAGGGUAUAUUCUCUAUUUUUUUUUAAAUUUUCAUAGAAUUUUUUGUGGCCUAAUAUAUCUUCUAUUUGGUGUUGGGGUUGUUGUUCAGUGGUAGAUUGCUUGUUUAGCAUGUGUGAGGCACUGGCUUAAAAUGUUAAGCACCACUUAUAAAUAAAAUGGAUAAUCUAAAAAUUGAAAAAAAUCUACACAGUCUAUUUUAGAGAUGCAACCAUGUGCUGCUAAGAAGAAAGUGUAAUCACUUGUUAAUGAAUGAAAUACUCAAUAUAUUUCUUUUAAAUCUAAAUUGUUGAUUGUACUUUUUAGUUUUUUGUAUUAUUCUUUGGAGGAUAUGUCCUCUGGUGACAGAGGUCUGCUAAAAUUACCCAGUAUUAUUAUGCUAUGGUCUAUUUGAUUCUUGAAAUUGAGAAGGGUUUGUCUGGUGUGUGUAGAUGCUCCAUAAAUAUUAACAAGUGUUAUGUCUUGUCGAUGUAUUAUUUGUUUAUACAGUAAACAAAUCUCUCCUGAUUAAUUUUGGCUUGAAGUUAACUUUAUCUGUUAUGAGGACAGAAACUCCUGCCUGUGUAGGAAAUCCAUGUGAGUGAUAUAUUCUUUUUCAUCCCUUUGCUUUUAUUCUGUGGAUGUCUUUGCUUAUGAGGGGAAUCUCUUGGAGACAGCAUAUCGUUUGAUCUUCAUUUUUAAUCCAUUCUUCCAGUGUAUGUCUUUUAAUUGAUGACUUUAGUCCGCUUACAUUCAAGGUUAUGAUUUAGAUAUGAUAUGUAUUCUCAGCCACUUGGGUUUAUUUCUGGUUUUUAAGUUGAAAUAAUUUCUCCUUUGAUUGAUUACUCCUGUAGCAUAAUUCCUCCCAUUGCUGAUUUUUUGUUUGUUUUUCAUUUUAUCUUCAUGGAAUAUUUUGUUGAGAAUGUUGUGUAGUGCAGGCUUUUGAGUUGUGAAUUUUUUUUAACUUUUGUUUAUCAUGGAAGUUUUUUAUUUUAUCAUCUGAUCUGAAGCUUAAUUUUUCUGGAUAUAGUAUUCUUCAUUGAAAUCCAUUUUUUCCCCUAAGAAUGUGGUAUUAAUAUCCUAGGACCUCUUAUCUUUGAUGUCUGGCUUGAAGUCAACUGAGAUCCCAAUUUCCCCCCACUCCAUAUGUAAUCUGAUAUUUUUUUCUCCCAGCCCUUAAAAUUCUAUCCUUAUUCUGUAAGUCAUUUUCAUUAUAAUGUCUUGGUGUGGGCCUAUUCUAAUUAUAUGCAUUUAGUGUCCUGUAAACCUCUUCUAUAUGAUCUUCCAUUUCAUUCUUUAGGGUUGGGAAAUUUUCUGAUAUUAUUUUAUUGAAAAAUUUGUGUAUUCUUUUGGUUUAGAUCUCUGCUCUUUCAUUUAUUUCAAUAAAUCUCCAAACUUCCGCUUUUCAUGUCAUCCCAUAUGUUUUGGAUGUUCUGAUCAUGGUUUCUUAACAUCUUCUCUGCAUAGUUAGCUUCAUUUACAAGAUUAUGUAUUUUGUCUCAUUGCCUGAUUUUAUGUCUUCCAAGUGGUCUAGUCUUUUGCUGAUUCUUCUAUUGAGUUUUUAUUUGAUUUAUUGAUUUCUUCACUUUGAGGAUUUCUACUGUUUUUUAUUAUUAUUUUUCUUUCAGAAUCUCUGCCUUUUGAAGUGAUCUGGAGUGUUGUCUUGAGCAUAAUGCUCCAACCUCUGGAUUGCUGGAGUGCAAGAGGUAAUAUAAUUGUCAGAAUUCCUGGAGGCAGUGUUUAGGUUGAAGUAGGCUCCAGACUCUUCACUGAACCCCAUUGUUUUGGAGAUUUUAAAUAAGCACACUUCCAGAGUCCGAGACUUACUGGUCCAGGCUGAAAGACUAUACUCCAAGGAUUUCACUUGGAUUCCCUUUUUGUGUUGGGGAGCCAACUGUGAGUCCCAUACCUCACAUGGAGACCCUACAGUUCCUGGUCUUGGAUUCAGACUCCAAUUUCUUCCCCCUUGUUCUUCCAAAUUCCUUACCAGAAGCAUCUCUCUCACUAGUAUUGUAAGGAGCCAGAUUGGAGAGGGAGGUGUCUGGAGGCUGAACAUGACCAGUAGUCUGUUAAGAGACUACCUCUCUCCAUGUUUGAUUUUGUCCUGGUCAUGUAAGAACACUAUAUGUCAUUCAGUGUGCGUUUAUUUAUUGGGCCUGUAUUUCAGGCCAAACUUGGAUUUAUUAGGCAUUGGUUCUGUCUGCUGCUAGCCUCUUUUCUGUGGCUGCAGAAUGUUUCCUUAUGAUGUCCUCUGCAUGCUUCUUGGAGGGAUGGUAGCUACUCUUCCUCAGCAGGAUAUUGGAUACUACAUCUUUCAGGUUUGUUGGACAAUGUCGUUGAUAUCUAAAUGCUGUUUCCAGAUAUGCUUUGGGUCUCCCAAGAAUCCAUACAGGCUUCUUUAAUUCCUUUAUCCCUCCAUUGUGCUCAUGGCGGAACAACUCUGGCUGGUGUUUCAAGCCUGGCUGUGGCAGCAGCUAUGUUGCCUGGGAUUUUUUUUUUUUUUAAUUUUUUAAAAUAUCCAACCCCCAACUCUCCAAGUCACUCCUCACUUUUUUUUUUAAACCCAUCUUGGAAAAACUGUGUGUCUGCUUUUUUGUUUUCCCACCACAGAGCAGCCAGGAAGGCAACCUCUCUAUUCUGCCAUCUUGAAAACCUCUCCCACAAUAAUUCCUUUUAUUUGUUAUUUUUAGUUAUGCAAAAAAGUAAAAACCAUUUGAUCCUUUAUACAAGCAUGGAAUACAUCUUAUUCUAAUUGGGAAACCAAUCUUGUGGAUGUACACAAUGUUGAAAUUCACCAUGUUGUAUUUAUAUAUGUAUAUAUGAAAGUAAUCAGAUUCAUUCUCCUUUAUUUCUAUCCUACUUUGUGUGUGUGUGUGUAUGUGUGUGUGCAUGCAGGAUGGGAUUGAACUCAGGGACUUGUGUAUGCAAGAAAAGCACUCUACCAACUGAGCUGUAUCCCCAGCCCUCUGUCUUCCUUUCUUCAUUCUUUGUCUAAUCCAAUAAACUUGUAUUUUUCCCCUCCCCACCCUCCCUUGUUAUGGGUUAGCAUGCACAUAUCAGAGAACAUUCAAUCUUUAUUUUUUUUAAUUGGCUCUUUAAUGUAGAUGAUGGUCUCCAGAUGCAUCCACUUAUAAGCAAAUGUCACAAAAUUAUUCUUCUUUAUGGCCAAUUUAUAUUUCAUUGUUUAUAUAUAUAUAUUACAGUUUCUUCAUUUAUUCAUCUUUCAUUGGACAUCUAGGUUGGCUCUGUAGCUUAGCUAUUUUGAAUUGUGUUGCUAUAAAUAUUGGUGUGUCUGUGUCAAUGUGAUAGCUGAUUUUUAACUCCUUUGUAUAUAUAUCACAUAGUGAUAUAACCAGGUUAAAUUCCAUUCCAAGUUGUUUUUUUUUGCAGAAUCUCUAUACUACUUUCUAGAGUGGUUGCACCAAUGUGCAAACAAAAUUGGAACAAAACUGUAAAAUUUUGAAAGCUACCUUUAAAAUGCUUUAUGCUACACAUUAGAACAAAUUCAUCAAUAUAUAGAUAAUAAAAAUUCAUGUAAUUCCAUCUGCUUGGAAUUCUGAUGCAGGAGGAUUGCAAAUUAAAAGCUAUCCUUAAUAACUUAGGUUUCAAUUCUUGCUUUUUAGGAAAAAAAUGGCAUUUUUUUUUUUGUACAGACAAGAAAAUGUUUUAUCUUUCGUACAGUGUUUGAAAUUUUAAUUGUGAUCAAAACCACAAAUAAAUCUUGCUAUUUCCAACAUCUCAAGUAUACUUAGUUCAAAUUGUUAUAUAAUAUGUCUUUAGAAAUUUUACAUUUCAAAAAAAAAUGAAAUCUCAUAAAAACAAGGUUUAUUUAUAUUCCUCCAUCUCAAUCACCAUUCUCCAUUUUGUUAAGUUUAGCUAUCUUAUUUAUACUAGUAGAACAGUUCAGUGUUUUUCUUUUAAAAAAAUUAUUUAUUUACUUUUUGUUUUAAGUGGACACAAUAUCUUUAUUUCAUUUUUAUGUGGUGCUGAAGACCGGACCCUGUGUCUCGUGCAUGCUUGGUGAGCACACUAUCAUUGAGCCACAACCCCAGAUCCACGUCAGUAGCUUCUAGUGACUUAUUUCAUUUAUCAAAGUCUGCUUUAUGUUUUUCCUUAUUAUAGCUCUUACAAAAUUUCCUACCUUUUGGACUUGAAAAAUAUUCUGUAGUUUAUAUAUUUUAAAUUUUCUUAUUUACUUAUUUCAAGGAAUAUUUUGUUUGCUUUGACAUGAUGUCUCUUUUGAAUAAUAUUUUAACAAUUGCAGAUGUCUUAAUUUGCUAUAAACUUUGGGUUUACUACCAUACUCACCUAGAAUUCUAUAUGCCUAGUGGUCUUAUUGCCAGUAUUAACUAUUGAAUAUUGUAGCUUUUUAAGUCAGAACAUUGUUCCAAUUUGGUUGUGUUUUGAAUAUUUUUGAGUUAUUCAUAACAAUUUGUAGAAUAUCUUUUUUCUCUUUUUGGGAAAAAUAACAUUUGGAGUUUAAUAGAUAUUGCAUGAACUUCCAGAAAACUUUGAGGAGUAGAAAUAUCUUUUAAUUUUGCCCUUCAAUUCAUGAAAAAGACCAAAUCAACUAAUUAUGAAAUAUUUAUGCAUUUUCUAACAUCACUUUCACUUUUUAAAAAAUAUUUUUUUACUUUUAGUUGGACACAAUAUUUAUUUCUAUGUCGUGCUGAGGAUCUAACCCAGUGCUUCACAGGUGCAAGGUGGGUGCUCUACCACUGAGCUACAACCCCAGUCCCUCUUUCACUUUUGAUUUUAAUUUUAUUCCAUAAUAUGUAGGAAAUGUUAAUAUUUUCAUAUAUAUUAACUUUUUAUAACCUGAGUUGUUCUAUCCAGUAUAAUAUUUCAUUUGCUAUUGAGAACAUUACUUUUGUAAAUGUAAUUUGUUCAAAAUAGUUUUUCUGAGUCUUUUUUUUUUUUCUGUUUGGUGAUUGCCGUUUUGUUUGACUUUACAAGAAGCUAGAUAUUGUGUCUCCUAGUACUACAAUGUUAUUUCAUACUACAAUGUUAUUUCCUAUUUUGUUAUCCAAUUUUUUCAAUAUUUGCUUUCUAUAUUUGGGAAGUAUGAUGUGAGUUACAAGUGUUCCUACUGUUAUUGUAGUAAUGGAGGGGGGAAAAAGUUUUCAUUUUUAAGUUUAAUUAAUGUACUUUGGUAAUGGGGAUUGAGGCCAAGGGUGCUGAACCACUGCUCCAAAUCUCUGGUCCUUUUUAUAUUUUAUUUUGAGACAUGAUUUCCCUAACUUGCUUGGGGCCUUUCUAAGUUGGUGAGGCUGGUUUGAGCUUCCUUAAGCAGCUUCCUUAGCUGCUGGGUUUUCAGGUGUGUGCUAGAGCACCUAGCUACUUUCAUCGUCAUAUAAUUUUCUAGUCUACCUGUCACAGUUUCUUUAUUAAAAAUCUGUUUUGCCCCAUGUAACUGUUAUUUCAAACUAUGUUUUCCAUAUUGUAAUUUUCUUAUUCCAUUUGGUUAAUGUUGUAUGCGAUAUUCUCAUAUUCUUUUGCAUUUUAUUUGUGUUCUUACACUUAAAGCAUUUUAUACACUACAUACAAUAGUAUUUUUUAGAUUAAGUUCUAUUAGUCAAGUUUUGUGAUUUGAUUGGUGUUUUAUAAUACUGCAGGUACAAUCUAACAAAUUUCUAAAAGUGAAGAAUUACUCCUUUCAGAGUUUCUUUAUUUCUUAUAAUUGUUUAUUCUACUUUUCUUAAUCAGUUGAUUUGUGGUUCAUUGAUUUUCAGACUGACAUGCUUUGAUUACUUUCCCAUAUCCCUUUGCAUAUUGUAUGGGUAUUUGUUUUGUAACUCACAUGAGAUUUUAUAAACAUUACAUUAUGGGGCUGGGGUUAUGGCUCAAUGGUAGAGUGCUUGCCUCACAUGUGUGAGGCACUGGGUUCAAUUCUCAGCACUGCAUAUAAAUAAAUGAACAAAAUAUAGUCUGUUAACACAAAAAAAUGUUUAAAAAAAGAUUACAUUAAAUACAUUAAAUUUACACUGUAUUUUGAGCUAGUAAUAAAUUCAAUUUGAUUUAGUAUAAAAUUUUGUUUUAUUCUAAUAUACUUUCACAAUUUUGAUAAUUUUACAGUUAUUUUAAUAUUGCAUAUACAUUAACAAGUUCAUAUUGAUUUUUAUGCUUUUAUCUUUCAAAUUGUAUUGCCAGAUUAAGUGUUUUGUCUUUGGAAGUGAUGUUUUUUCCCCCAAAACUUUAAAAUUUCAUGUAAUUUGUGUUGCUGUGCAGAUUUAUUUUUCAUUAUAGUGGAUUAUUUUAGUAUUUUUGGAGGCCAGAACUAGUGGUGAUGCUCUUUGUAGGCAUUUAUAUAUGUUAAAAGUGUUUAUUUUUCCUUGCUUUUUACAGAUCAAAUAUUGUCAAAGGUGUAAAAGAAAAAAAAAAUGCCAACAAGAACAUAUAUUCAGAAAUCCCUUCUGUAUUGUAAAUCUUCCUAAGGAAUUGCAUAAUAAUUAUAUAGAAAUAUCUUUCUAGGAUUUACGUGUUUUUUGUUUGUUUGUUUGUUUGUUUUUGUGACCUCAAGUAUUUCUCUUUUUUGAAUUUUAUGGAGGUACUAGAGAUUGAACCCUGGAGGACUUAACCACUGAGCAACAUAUACAAACCUUUUUGUUCCCCCCUCCCCCACUAAUUGGAGAUAAUUGGACUUCUUAAGUUUUGAUUUUGGUUUUAUACCUCAUAUUUAUAAAUUCUGAUUUCUUUUUUUAUUUUUAUUUUUUGGGUAUUUUACAACUAAAUUGUGUUCUCAGCUCCUGUCAUUAAAAAACAAAAGAAAACAAAAAAACAACUUUUUAAAUUUUUUUUGUCGUGAUGUCAUGAACUUGGGGUUGCCUCAAACUUAAGAAGCUCCUGGCUUAGUCUCCCACAUUGCUGGGAUUAUAGCUGUGCACAUUAACCCUUGAUCUUGAAAUAUAAAAUUCUUCAAAUAUAAAAUUUCUUCAAAUAUAAAAUUUCUGCUUGUAUCAACAUUUUUUCUCUGAUUUUUGUUCAGUUUUCUGUAUUCUGUUUUAGCUCAUUAAACUUAUUUUAAAUUUUUAUUUUCUAUACUUCAGGUAAUCCAUAACUCAGUUUUUUAAUGUUCAAUUCCUGCUGCUUUAGUUUGUUACAUUGGUUAAGCCUUGUUUUCAUUUUGUGUGUGUGUGUGUGUGUGGUGUAUUAUUUUUAAUUGGUUUGUCCAUUUGAAUAUCAGCCAGUAAUGGAUUUUAUAGUCAUUUUGGUAAAUAGUUUGGAUGUUAUUAAAAAAUAGACAAAGUGAUGCAUACUGUCAAUCCCAGCUAAUUUAGAAGCCAUACUAGUGUUUCAAGUUUGGGACAAGUCACAACAAUGUAGUGACAACAUGUUUAAAAAUAAACUUUAAAAGGGCUUGUGUCAUAACUCAGUGGUACAGUAUCUUUGGGCUUAAUCUCAAGAAUCAUAUAUAAUAAAAGUUAGAAGUAGACGUUUUUGUGAACUCGAAAUGCAAAUCUUAAUUAUAUGUCCACAGGAGAUUUGAUCAAGAUGUUCAAGCUAUAUCUCCACUGUUUAUUGCAUGCAUCAUUUACAAUAGUAAAGUUAUGGACUCAACCUAUAUGCGCAUUAAUGACUGAAUGAGAAAAAAUAUGGAAUUUUUCUUAUUGGUUGUAAAAAAUCUUGUCAUUUAUUGUGAAAUAAAGCAGAUCAAAAAAAAUCAGUUGCAGGAGCAUCUGAGUUUGGAAACAACUCAGAUGAGUAAAUUGAUGUUCCCAGGCACUGUGUUUGGUGUAGUGUUGUUCUACAUCUGCAGUAUUUUAUUUUAAUGGUCAUAAGAAGGUUGAGAGUUGUGUUGGACCACAUGAGUGUAGAGAGUGUAUUGUGCUGUAUUCCUAAUAAAUGCUAAUAGAAUGAACAAGUGUUUUCUAAGCACAAAACUGAUUAUUAUAAGAAAUAAUACAGGUUUUCAUUCACUUGGUGUGUGUGUGUGUGUGUGUGUGUAUAUAUAUAUAUAUAUAUAUAUAUUUUUUUUUUUUUUUUUUCAAAAAUACCAUGAUAUAUCUAGUAAUAUAUAAAGUUUAAUUUGUCAAUGAAAUAAAUCAGUACGUAACAAAAAUUUAAAAAAUCCAAAGCAAGUCAUUUACCUUGAUCAUCAUGUGUGGGGUGUCAUCUGUGUAAUACAGACAUAGGCUAUGCCAUGUUUUUAAUUGUCUCUCAAACUUGUUUUUAAUGUGAAUCUUCUCAAGACAUGUAUUUUUCCAAUUAAAAAUUUUGUCCAUAUAUAGUUUUAAAGAGUCCAUAUACCUCUGUUGAAUAUGGUUUAUUGUCAUCUAAAUAUCUAUUUUCUCCAGGACCCUUGUCAUGAAAGAUAGAAACCAGUUUUUAGAGCGUCUCCAAGAAAGUCACAUAUGUUUGCACAUAUUUUGCAUUUCUCUUUUUUUCACUGAGAGAAGAGAGUAGGUAGAUUUUUUUCGUAGUUGUACAGUGGUAUAUUACAAAGAAGGAAAGACUAUGUUUGACAAGUAACACAGUAUCCCUCCCUAGGGAUGGAAAUUAUAUUACACUCCUUAGUAAUGGACUCGUCUUGUUUACCAUUUUUGGGAAGCCAUCCAUGGACUGUGCUUGAACUAAAACAUUGUUGAAGCCAUUAGGCAGCAAAGUCUGGGGGUGGGGUGUGGUAUGGUGUAAAAUUUCUCUUGUUUCAACAGGGCCUUAGAGCCACCAAAGCAGUGGGCGAAAAUUUAAUGGGAUUCAAAUUAUACCCUAUUUUUUGGCAGUUAGAUCCACGUAAACCAAACCAAAAUAUAUGAAUUCAUAUUUCUGUUCUUUUUAAACAUUAAAAGGGUUAAAAUCUGCUUGCUUCAUGCAUGGCCUAAACUCACCUUUUGUUCAAAACUUGGUAGAAUCAGUGUGUACUGAGGCCCUGCCCUCUACUGAUUGGGUUACCCUGGUGAAAGCUUGCCUUUCAGGAUGUGGAUAUUUGUUGUGGAAGUCUAAUUGGAUGGAAUUUUGUUCUGAGCAGGCAGAGAUAAACAGAAUGCAUGGAGUAUAUAUCACUUUAGAACUGUUGACUGGGUAGGAUCAUUUGUGAUUUGGAGCAACAAUUAAAUUAUGAUUUACAAACUAAUACUCAGAUAAGUGUGUGUGCAAGAAGGGCACAAAGGUAAUUACCUACUAAGGCUGGGAAAAAAAUGGAUUUUAGCCAGAUCUGGCUACCUCACUCUCCUCAAAAGUCCUUGACUGCAUUACAUAUUUUGUGAUUUUUCAAUUACUCAUUAAAGGUAGAACAUGAGUCUUAUAUUUCAUUGGAUCAGAGUCUUCUAUUGUUUUAACCUCCUUUUCUAUCCAAUAGCAUAGUUGGCUCUGGCAAUCUUCCAAUACUUUGAAAAUAGCUUUUGCUUAUUUUCCUAGUUAAGUAGGAAGUCUUCAUUCUCAUGAAAAUGUUGUUCAGUUUGGUCUAGUAACUUCAUUUAUUUUUUGAACAAAUUGUAUGUGCUCAGCCAGUAGCCACAGCAAUGGAAGUAUUUACUGAUUGCUCAAGUUCAGGAAAAGCAGAUUUCUGAAGGCGUGCUCAUACUGAGAUAAUACAGACAAUAUAAACUACUCAACGAUGAGCAGAACUUCAAACUCUCAUUUGCUUUACUUCAUUUUACUAAUGAGCCAGUUAGUGUUUUAUAGUGAUAGUGUAUAUAUUGUGGGAGUUCCUAAACAUUUUGAAACAGCUACUGUUGUAGAUAUACCACCAAAAGCAUCAUUUCAUUUGUUCCAUACUUUACAAAAGACAAUUCAAAUGCAUCAAAAAUCUUCAUUGGACAAUCAGAGCACAUUCUAUAGAAGCUGCCAGAUCCUUUGGCAUCAGUUAAUGAUAAUAUUGAAAAGCUUAUUGCUGUUUGUCACCAAAUAUCUUUAUUUGAUUUUGUAGAAGCCUCACACAUUUUACAUCAUCAGAAUGCUUCUAGUUUACGUUAAAAAAAAUCUGUAGGGAAGAAGCUUAUCAAGUUGUUUGCCAGUAUUCAUAAUGUGUGAUACAUAUUCUGUCUUCACCAACAGGGGACAAUCCCCAUUCUUUAUUGCCAAAUCAGCUAUGUCAAAUGUAUGUAACUCACAGUUUGGCAAAAAUUAUUAUGCUCAUAUUAUUGUGAAUACUUGUUCUUAAUUUAUCUUUGCCUCUGCCUGUGAAAAAUAGACUAUUCAACAUAUUAUUUCUCAUUGCCUAUGGGCUUUUGCAAUAUUACACUGUCAUUCACAGAUUAAAACUGAUAAUGCUUUAGCUUAUACUAGUUCUUUCAAGUUUUGCCACCAAUUUCAUGUUAAUUAUAUAACAGGCAUUCCUUAUAAUCCUCUAGAUCCCGCCAUUGUAGAGUGGGCUCAUUUAUUUAUUAACCUACAAUUACACAAAAAGGGGGGGGGAUAAGGCCCCAAUAAAUAACCUUAAUCAUGAUUUUUUUGGUUCUAAAUUUUUAAAUUUGUGAUUCUGAAGGCCACAGUGCUGCUGAAACAAGUCUUCCACUGUAACAGGUCUGUUGGUCCUCGUUUGGUGCAAAGUUUUACAAACAGAACAGUUCAAAGACCAGAUUCAGUGAUAAUGGGGGGUAGAGAUCAUGGUUGUAUUUUCCCAGAAGAUUCAUUUUGUCCUAUUUGUGUACUGAAACGUGCCAUCAAGCAUGGACCUAGAGCCAACAUUCAAAUGACUAAAAUUUAAACCAGAGAUGUCAAUCCUCACCCCAGCAGGAAUAGGAAGCUUAUAUGGAGGAAAAGGAUGAGCAUGGAUGGCCCUGCCAUCACUCAAACUGCCAGUGUAUAAGCAAUUGAAGAAGCUUAUCGAAAAGACUGAGCAGAUGGUUCAACAAAAAGUAGAUAUUAAAUCUCCAACCACAAUGUUUGUGGUCAUGAUAACUCUAUUGAACUGUGAAGGUGUGUGGGGUCCGUGUAGAAAUUCAUUGGACCUAUUUUGCAUAUCCACUUAUAGUACACAUGGUGGUGUGGAUUGAAGAAUCCAUCCCAAUAUUUACUAAUGAUCCUGAUAUGACGGGAUGUUUUACAGAUAUUCACAUUACACCCAUCCAUGUAACUGGAUUUCAUUAUAUUGGCUACAAUGAGCAAUUACCUAUAUGCUGGUUCCAUGAUAAACAUGCUGACUGUUUAAAAGUAUCUUUUGAGGGAAAGAGAGUAUAUGGGGGACCUAGACCAGCCAAUCAUGCUGGCCCAUGGGACUUAAGAUUAUGUGUCAGGACAGUUAUUAAAAUUGUACAUUCUCAUAACAAGCCAGUCAUUUCCAUGGAACAUUUACCAAUACCUUACUGCUCCAAUUGUUCUGCAAUAGAAUUUUGUACCUUUCUUAAAUGGGUGAAAUGUGCAAAUGUCAUGCCAGUACAACAUAAAGUUUCUAGAAAUAGUGGUUAUAUUUUGGAUUGGUCUCCAAGAAUUGGUAAAGGACAUCCCUGUAAGGAUGCCAUGACUCCUGGAAGUUUUAUUAGUAAUGUUCUAACUUCCAGUGGAGUUGGUAUUUUAAAAGAUCUCUGGUGUUUAAUUGCAGCCUGAGAUUUUCUACAUUAUAUAAAUGCCCCUCUGCCUGACUUUGUAGGCUACAACUGCAAAUAGGUUUUCUGCUAUGGCCGCUGAGCCUGUAUUCAAUCUCCUUAUGCUUUAAAUCUCGAAAUAUGUUGAAACAUUAUGCAUGGUAUAUUAUUGGAAUGAUGUGUUUGCUACUAGCUCUUUUUUGUAUCAUGAUAAUAGGUUGUUGUGCCCUCAGAACAAGUAUAUAGGAACCUGAGAUAACUGCCCAUUGUUUGCAUUUAAAAAAUAUAUAAGGGGGAUACGUAGAAAACCACCUGUGAGCUGUGUGGGAACUAAAACAAUGUUGAAGCCAUUAGGCAGGAAAGUCUGGUGUCUGGAAAUCCCAGCAGAAAUCCUGCUGGUUUGAGAAUGUGUGGCUUAUGUGGCUUCUUACCUAGCUCCAUUACAGUUCAGAACAGCAUCAGUGAUGGGCAUGACCCAUUAAGAGCGAAACAAACUGUCUACCCUCAGCCAUAACCUAUUAUUUUGUGAAGAAGAAAGUACAGAGACAAGAAUCCUCCCACACUGAAAUCUUAUACCUAUGGAUUCCCUUUGAUCUAUACUGCUAUAACUACAGCAAGUGCAGGCUCUAUCUUUGUUGGAUGCCACCGCCUUCUGAUUGGCUUAACAUGUCAUUGCACCAACUUUGUAAAACAUUUCUUCUCUUUUGUGUGUAUUUCAUGGUUUUAGUUUCAUAGGUUUUAUUUUGCAGCCCACCCAUCCUUCCAACAGAAAUGCCCAAGUGGGAUGUUUGCAAGAACAUUUACUCUAAUAUGGUUUUAGUAGUUCUCACAAUGUAAUUUUGUCUAUACAUUUUUACUCUUAGUUUAUGUAUUUUUGGAGUAAUGAUGGCAUUGCAUUUAUUAAACUGUCCUCCUGCUGAUGUCCUGACAGUGCUAUAAUUUCAUAUGGUACAUUUGCAAAAUAUAUUCACCUCAGUCUAUUAAGUAAUACCAAUUUUAUUUAUAUUUAUUUCAGCCAUGACUUCUCAUCAUACUUAAGAAUUUUCAUCAGAACAGGGCAUAACAUAUUUAUUACAAAAAGUAAUAAAGGGAAGAUAUGGGAAGUGCGACCUUGACUAUUUACCACCAAGAAAAUUAGGGGAAAUUUUAAGUGAGAGUGAAUUUCAGAAAUCAUAUUAUAAGGAACAAAACCAAUUAUCAGUGACUGUUCAUAAUAAAAAUUUUACUGCUAACAGAUAUCAAGAACAAUUAAUAUCUCAGAAAAUACUUCAAUUUAUGCUUGUUACUUUUGAAGAACUCUGUAUGUUGUUAAGAAUAAGUCCACAGCAAUUUUGGAAGCACAUAUUUUCUCUGAAAGGAAAUAUGAAAAAUCUGAGAAGAGAUCUAGUCCCUGUCAAGCAUCAGAGCAUCCAUGCCCAAGAGAAGCCCUGUAAUUGUAAAGAAAGUCUCAAGUUUAACAAUUUUUCAACCGUUUCUCAAUCCCUGAGAUGUCAUAGCAGUGACAAAUUUUGAAAAUGUAAAGAAUGUGGCCAAGCUUUUAAUCAAAGCUCAGUUGUUCUAUCCCAGAAAAUUGACGUUAAUGAGAGCUCUGAGAAAUGUAAAGAAAGUUCCAAAGCCUUACAACAAAAUUCAACCCUUACACAAAACCAAAGGUAUCAUUCUGGAGAGAAGACUUACAAAUGUUAAGUAUGUGGCAAAGCUUUUAAUCCAAGAUCUCUUUUUAUUCAACACCAGAAAAUUCGUACUGGAGAGAAACCAUACAGAUGUAAAGAAAUUGAAAGAUUACUGCUAACUGAACAUCACAGAAUACAUACUGGAGGGAAGCCCUACAAAUGUAAAGAAUGUAACAAUGCUUUUAAUCGAAAAUCAGACCUUACUAAACACCAGAAAAUUCAUACUGAAAAGAAGCCCUACAAAUGUAAAGAAUGUAGCAAAGGUUUUAAUUGAAAAUCAGACCUUAAUAAACACCAGAAAGUUCAUACUGGAGAGAAGCCCUACAAAUGUAAAGAAUGUGGCAAAGGUUUUAUUCAAAGAUCAAUACUUACUUAUCACCUGAGAGUUCAUACUGGAGAGAAGCCCUACAAAUGUGAACAGUGCGGCAAAACAUUUAAUCUAAAACAUAAUCUUGUUCAACACCAGAUAAUCCAUACUGGAGAGAAACCAUAUGAAUGUAAAGAAUGUGGCAAAGGUUUUAAUUAUAGAUCAGUGCUUGUUGAACACUAUAGAAUUCAUACUGGAGAGAAUCCCUACAAAUGUAAAGAAUGUGGCAAAGCUUUUAGCCAUCAUGCUGGCUUUAUCAAACACCUGAGAAGUCAUAGUGGAAAGAAGCCCUACAAAUGUGAACAAUGUGGCAAAUGUUUUAGUCAGAAAUCAAAUCUGGUCCAACACCAGAGAAUUCAUAAUGGCGAGAAACCCUACAAAUGUGAAGAAUGUGCCAAAGUUUUUAGUCAAAGAUCACUACUUAACAAUCACCAUAGAAUUCAUACUGCAGAAAAUCCCUACAAAUGUAAAGACUGUGGCAAGGCUUUUAGGCAAUAUUCAUGCAUUUUCCAACACCAGAAAAUUCAUACUGGAGAGAAGCCCUACAAAUGUAAAGAAUGUGGCAAAGCUUUUAAGCAAAAUUCAGCAUUAACUAAGCACCAGAGAAUCCACACUGGAGAGAAGCCCUACAAAUGUAAAGAAUGUGGCAAGGCUUUUGCCCAAAGAUCAGCACUUACUGGACACCUCAGGGUUCAUACUGCAGAGCAGUCCUAAAAUGUACAGAAUGUGGCAAAGCUUUUAAGCAUCUUUCAUCAAUUACUAUUCACCAGAGAAUCCACACUGGAGAGAAGCUCUACAAAUGUAAAGAAUGUGGCAAAGCUUUUACCCAAAGAUCAGCACUUACUGGACACCACAGAGUUCAUACUGCAGAGAAGCCCUAGAAAUGUACAGAAUGUGGCAAAGCUUUUAGGCAUCACGCAAGCAUUUUCAAACACCAGAGAAUGCAUACUGGAGAGACGCCCUACAAAUGUGAACAAUGUGGCAAAACAUUUCAUGAGAAAUCAAACCUUGUUCGACACCAGAAAAUUCAUACUGGAGAGAAGCCAUACAAAUGUAAAGAAUGUGGCAAAUCUUUCAGUCAAAGAUUAGUGCUUGUGGAACAUCAUAGAAUUCAUACUGGAGAGAAUCCCUACAAAUGUAAAGAAUGUGGUAAAGCUUUUAGGCAUUGUUCAAGCUUUAUCAUACACCAGAGAAUUCAUACUGGAGAGAAGCCGCACAAGUGGCAACUUUUUAAAUGAAAGGUUCUUGCUUACUGACCAUAGGAGAGUUUAUACUGGACAGAAGAUCUAUGAAUUAAAACAAUUUGGAUGAACUUUUAAUAAAAUAUUAGACUUUCAAUAUCUCUAAUGAACAUAGAUGCAAAAAUUUUCAAUAAAAUUCUUUGAAAUCGAAUAUAAAAACAUCAAAAAGAUUGUUCACCAUGAUCAAGUGGGAUUCAUUCCAGGGAUGCAAGGUUGGUUCAACAUACGGGAAUCAAUAAGUGUAAUUCAUCACAUCAAUAGACUUAAAGAUAAGAAUCAUAUGAACAUCUUUAUAGAUGCAGAAAAAUAUUUGACAAAAUACAACACCCCUUUAGGUUCAAACACAUUUGUAAAGGCUAUCUACGCUAAGCCUCAGGCCAACGUCAUUCUAACAGAGAAUAUUUGAACGCAUUCCCUCUAAAAUCUGGAAGAAGACAGGGUUGCCCUCUCUCACCACUUCUAUUCAACAUAGUUCUUGAAACACUGACCAGAGCAAUUAGACAGACAAAAGAAAUUAAAGGAAUAACUAAAGGAAAAGAACUUAAACCAGCACUAUUUGCUGAUGACAUGAUUAUAUACCUUGAAGACCCCAAAAACUCCACCAGAAAACUUCUAGAACUAGUAAGUGGAUUCAGAAAAGUAUCAGGAUAUAAAAUCAACACCUAUAAAUCAAAGGCAUUCCUGUAUAUCAGAGACAAAUCCUUUGAGAAGGACAAGAGGGAAACUACCCCAUUCACAAUAGCCUCAAAUAAAAUAAGAUACUUGGGAAUAAGGAAAAAAAAAAGAGGUGAAAGAUCUAUACAAUGAAAACUACAGAACCCUAAACAGAGAAAUAGAAGAAGACCUUAGAUGGAAAGAUCUUCCUUGCUCAUGGAUAGGCAGAAUUAAUGUUAUCAAAAUGACCAUUCUAACAAAAGCACUAUACAGGUUCAAUACAAUUCUGAUCAAAAUCCCAAUGGCAUUCCUCAUAGAACUAGAAAACACAAUCCUGAAAUUCAGAAUAAGCAGGUGGUAUCGCUAUACCAGACCUUAAAUUAAACUACAGAGCAAUAGUUACAAAAAUAGCUUAGUACUGGCUCCAAAACAGGCAGGUAGACCAAUGGUACAGAAUAGAGGACACAGACUAACCCACAAAAUUACAAUUAUCUUAUAUUAGACAAAGGUGCCAAAAAUGCACUGUACAAAAGAUAGCAUCUUGAACAAAUGGUGCUGUGAAAACUUGAAAUCCAUAUGCAACAAAAUGAAAUUGAAUCCCUGUCUCUCAUUAUGCACAAAACUUAACUUAUAAUGGAACCAAGGACCUAGGAAUUAAACCAGAGAGUCUGCAUCUAAUAGAAGAAAAAGUAGAUCCUAAUCUUCAUCACGUGGGAUUAGGCCCUAUCUUUAUGAGACUCCUAUAGCAAAAGAAUGAAAAUUAAGAAUCAAUAAAUGGGAUGGAUUCAAACUAAAAAAUGUUUUUCUCAGCAAUAGAAACAAUCUGUGAGGUGAACAGAGAGCCUACAUUCUGGGAAAAAAAUUUUUACCCCUCACACAUCAAAUAGAGCAUUAAUCUCUAGGGUAUAAUAAAGAAUUCAGGAAGAUAAGCAACAAAAACCCAUCGAUAAAUUGGCCAAGGACCUGAACAGACACUUCUCAGAAGAGGAUAUGCAAUCAAUCAACAAAUAUAUGAAAAGAUGCUAAUUAUCUCUAGCAAUCAGAGAAAUACAAAUCAAACUAAAAAAAAAAAAAAAAAGUGAAACGUCAUCUCACCUCAGUCAGAAUCGCACCUAUCAUGAAGACAACAAAAAGUGUUGGUGAGGAUUAGGGAAAAAGGUACACUCAUACACUGCUGGUGGGACUGCAAAUUGAUGCAGCCAAUUUGGAAAGCAGUAUGGAGAUUCUUUGGAAAUCUGGGAAUGGAACCACCAUUUGAUCCAGCUAUUCCUCUUCUUGGACUAUACCCAAAUGACUUAAAAAAUUGCAUACUACAGGGACACAGCCACUUCAAUGUUUAUAGCAGCAGAAUUCACAAUAGCUAAAAUGUGGAGCCAACCUAGAUGUCCUUCAGUGGAUGAAUGGUUAAAAAAAAUGUGGCAUUUAUUUACAAUGGAAUAUUACUCAGCAUUAAAAAAGAAUAAAAUCUUGGCAUUUGCAGGUAAAUGGAUGGCAGUGGAGAAGAUAAUGCUAAGUGAAGUCAGGCAGUCCCCUCCCCAGGAAAAACAUAUGCUGAAUGUUUUCUCUGAUAUAAGGGGGGUGGCUCAUAGUGGAGUAGUGAGGGAGAACAUGGGAGGAUUAGAUUAAUUCUAGAUAGGGAAGAGGGGUGGAAGGGAUUAGCAAGGAUGGUGGAAUGUGAUUGUCAUCAUUAUACAAAGUACAUGUAUGAAGACGUGAAUUGGGUAUCAACAUACCUUUUAUACAAAUGGAGAUAUGAAAAAUUUUGGUAUAUAUAUGUGUAUUAAAAUUGUAAUGCAAGUUAAAAGUACAUGUAUAUUGGCAUAAAUUGGCGAGAACAUAUGUUGUAUAGAGAUAUGAAAAAUUGUGCUAUAAAUGUCAUAAGGAGUAUAAUGCAAAAAAAAAAAAAAUCAGUUUUUAUUAAUCUCUGGAGAAUUCAUACUGGAGAAAAGCCCUUCAAGUGUAAAGAACAUGGCAAAGCUUUUAGAAGUUGUUCAAACAUUAUCAAACUCCUGAAACUUCAUACUGCAGAGAAGCACUACACAUGUAGCAAAAAUUGAAAGAUCACUUAUUAAACAUCAAAGAAUUUGUAGGGGAGAUAAGCUCUAUAAAUGAGAAUAUUGUUCAAAUACAUUUUGGAUGGUUCAACCAUAUACCACAUCAGAGGAAUCAGCAGAGAAAUUUUACCUUUACUAAUUAAAAAAUAAAUAAAAAUAAUAAAGACAAAAAUCUUUAACAGUUGUUCAUAUCUUACUCAGCCCCUGAGAAUUCAUACUGGUGAGAGCUGGUACAAGUGGAAAGAAUGAAACAAAUUUUUCUCCAUUUCCAAAACUUUACUAAACACGAGGGACUUCAUAGUGCAUAGAAACUCUAAAAAAAAUUUUAAAAAAUAUCCAACCUCAUAUUUAAAUUGAAACUUUCUUCAUCUAAAACCUCAUUCUUUAUCAAAUUUGGAAGACAUUUUUUUUCCAAAAUAUAUGCCUAUAUAUAGAUAACAGCAAAAUAGUCACCAUAAAUACUAAAACCUUGAAAAAUGUUAAAAGUAAAGUCUUAUCAAGUCCUUAUAUUUUGAUUUCCUUAAGAAUUCGUAAGAGAAAGCAUUUAAGCAUAGAAAAUGGGAAAUUGUAUUUAACUUUUGCUGAAAAUUUAUAAAUAGCAUUAGCUAAUGUGGUAGAAAUAAUGCAGAUAUUUCAUUUUUGAUUGAGAAUAAAUUAAUUAUAAAUUAAAGAUGAUUAAGUGUCUUCACUUCUGGAAAUUGGAGUAAACCUAUUUUUUUAUGCUCUAUUACAUCAGAGGAAGACCUAUGCUUAUAAUUUUUAACCUGUAUUUUUUUUUUUUUUGAGAUUUUAUAAUGUUAAUUUUUUUUUUCUUUUUUGUAAUGUGGAGAGAACUCAGGGUAGCUUAGCCAUUAAGUGAUGUCCCCAGUCUUUAAUUUUUUUUUUUUUUUUGGAGACACAUUUCCUUAUGGCCUUGGUAAGUUGCUGAGGCUGCUCUUGAAACCUCGACUAUCUUUCCUGAAGCCUCCUUGAUCACUGCGUAAUAGGCCUCUGCCAUCAUACCCUGCUAAUUAUAAAUUUUUAGUAUAUCCAUGUUAUUGUGGAAUUUGUUACUAAAUAAAAGUGAAUGUUAGCUUGCUAAUCCCUGUCAUGUAUUGAAUCAUGUUACUAUCAAGGCAUUCCAUUUUACCAAAGAUUCUAUAUAACAGUAAAGCAUACUAAAUAGUGAUAUAACAUCUCUACUAAUUAUUCUCGAAAACUUAAACUCACUUAUUUGGGGAAUACAAUUUGUAUAAGUCAGAUUGUUAUGCAUUUCUACUCCUUGUAAUUAUGGAAAAAUUAAGGAUUUAGAGGCCACUGCAUGUCUGGAGAGUCACAAUUCUCCUGGGAUUAUGAAAACCUCAGAAACUAGGAGUCACAAAUUCGUAUUCUGUGGAAAGGAGGGUCACUGAUGCUUUCACUGGUAUCCAUGUACUCUGUAGUGCACUAGCCCAUUCUGGCAAUAGGAAUGUCUGGUAACCAAAAAUACUGAAUAAAGCGUUCAGUUUUUCAUGAAGUCUAUAAGAAUAAACUCAGAAGAUUGACUAGAUUGACUUUAGAAUGAGAGCCCAAUAUGGUACUACCUGUUUGGUCUUAGGCACAAGGGAAGGAACUCUAAUCAAUAACAUGUAAAAUAAUGGUUGUAACACAAGAGUCUCAUAUGCAUAGAGUAAUUGAAACUCCUACGUAAUUCAUUUCACUAGAUAUUUUUUGAUAUUUAGAUAACUUUUAUUCUACUUAUAAUUUGUAUUGCUUAUUUUGUUUUUUAGAGUAUAAGAUACAUGGCAUGACAUGAGCUCACAAAGCUAUACAAUUUAAUCCUAAUAGGCCUGGAUUAUUAUUGUUGUUACUUUCAGGUCUUAGAGGCAAAGGAAAACAUGCUACCACACAAAAACAAAAUUCUUAUUCAAAUAAUCCACUAGACUAUGUAUGAGUCUUGUUCAAAAAGUAAAAACACUAAAAUUUAUCCUAUAUUUUCUCCAUGUGUUAAUAAAACCCUCAGGAAUAUUAAUUAAAUUUAAAUUGAUUGAGAAUUAAAAAUAAUGCAAAAAAUAUUGAGAACCUUUGAAACAGAAAUAGUGUUUGUGGUUCUUGAUUAUUAUUUUCAGCUACAUAAUUGUCACAGCUAUGCUUCUCUACCUUUUUUGUUAAUCUCUACUCCUUGUCAUCCUGGACAGGAAACUUUAAAAAAUAAUUUACAUGUAAGAAGCCAAGCAUUAAAGAAGCCUAUCCCAAGAAACCAAAGGCUAAAUGUUGUCUGUGAUAAGUGGAUGUUGAUCUGUAUUGAGGGUUGGCUGGUGAGAAUGAGAGAACUUUGGGUAAAGGGGAAGGAGAAAUGGAGAGGAGUAUGGAGACAGGAACGAUGGUGGAAUGAGAUGAUCAUCAUUACCCUAGGUAUAUGUAUGGCUUCAUAUUUGGUUCGACUCUACAUUCUGUAACAAAGAAAUGAAAAUUUGUGUACAAUGAAUUGAAACAGAUUUUGCUACCAUGUGUAACUAAUUAGAACAAAUAAAGAAUCAAAACAGAUAUAUUCUAAAUAUGAUGAGUGUGUGAUUUCAGAGAGAGUUAGUAUAACUUCCAGAAACCAUAAUAAGAUGUUUAGUUUGAAGGAACAUCUGCAUUAUAUUGCCUUGAUUUAUUAGAAGCAUUUUCCCAGGAGUGAAGAAAAAGCAAAAAACAUCUUUAUCAUUAUCAGUUUAAAAAGUAUCCCAUUCUAUUUAGUUAAUGACCACCUUAAUUUAAAAAAAAUAAAAAAAAACAUAGUUUCCAAGAAAAAAUAAAAAUAGAGAAAAGAAAACAUGAAAGAUUUCCGUAGUCCAUGUGCCUGCCAUGACCUUUGCACAUCCUUGAUGAAACAUCUUAAUAAUGCUGUGAAGUGUACUUGAGGGGAUCACUAGAUUACACAGGUUUUUAGAAUAGAGUUCUCUGAAUUUUAUCUUUUAUUUAAGUAUCCUUAUUGGGAAGAUUUCAAAGUCAUGGCCAUCGAGAGGAUGAUGUGGCUGGCACUUCCCAGUUAGGGCUCUGAAAAUCUACCUUGAUAGUUAGCAGCUAGUUGACUUCAGGUGUUGAUGUUUCCCUGAUUUGUAAGUGUAUUUUCUUCUCUUGUAUGCCUAUCAAUUUCACGUUUUUUUUUUCUUGAUUCCAUAUUAUCACUAAAUUAAAUUGUAUCUCAUGUUAAGGUAGUGUCUUUAAGUUUCUCUUGUAUCUGAUCUUCCAAAUUGAGCAUGUCCACAUGUAUGUAAUUACAUACACAUGCUUGUAUUAUACAAUUAAAGCAGUAUUUUUAGCAUGUUUGUCACCUCAAAUAUUUUUUAUUUGUAUGAGGAGAAAAUUGAGAAUGCUUUCUUUCCUUUGAAUGUGUAAUACAUUAUCAAUAGCUAUAGACACACUACUAUAUAUUUGCCCCUCUCUCACCUCUGGUUUCAUGUCUUUCCAUAUGAUUUUUUUCUCCUUUCCAUGUUACCAACAUGAUUCCAUACACUAUGAUAUGAUAUGUAGCAAAGUUUGUAGUCACAUCAGGCUGAUGGCACCCAUUGAUUUUGGACUUUCAGCCUCCAAAAUUCUGAGUAAAUUACUUUUUUUUUUUUCAUUAUAAAUUAUGCACUCUUGGGUAUUUCUUAUAGCAAUAGAAAAUGGAUAUUUACAGUGUCAUUCAACAUCAUAAGAAUUGUUUUAUACUUAUUUGUAAGAUUAGACAGUAUAUUUACCUGCCUAGCUGUAUAUAGGUUAAGAUACUCUAUUUAAUUAUUUUAUUUAAGCUUGAUGGCUCUAUCAGCAUUUCAAAAGGAGUUUUUUUUUUUUUUUUUACUUACCCUAAACUUCUCAAUGUAGAAAUAUGAAGCAAAUUUUUCCAGGUAUAAAAUUAUUGGUUGAUAGAUUUUGUUUAAAAAGUUUAAUCAUGUCUCUUUUGAAAUUUAAGGAAUACUCUUUCAUGUUUGGGCCUAUUUUAUAUAUAAAAAAAAAGUUCCAUACUUCUAAAAUAUGAUGAUACAGGACACACAUUCCUAUUUCAAAAUGAAGAAAUAAAGAAGUGAAAGAAAGGAGCCAGUCUCAAGUAAGAAAGAAAUUCAGAGUGGUAGAGAUUAAAUCCCAAAUCCCCAUUACCACCGUAGAGUGUAUAUUCUGGUGAGGUGUACUCUCCCAAGGCCUUGGAGAACUCAAGUCCUGGAACUUUGCUAGUUUCAGUGGCUGAAAUUGAGGGCCUUAUGCUAAUAUCAGUGAUUUUCAAACAUGGUGCAGAAAAUUGAUACCCAGGCAAUGUUUUUCUGGUAACUUCACUACAGCCUCUUUAGGAAUUUUCCCAUGUCGGGUUCCUGAAGGAGUUCAGACACUGGUACAAGUGUUUGUUCUUUACUCCCAUGCUUUCCUUUGUAAUUCAAACAGAAGCUGCCAUGCCUGUAACUCUUGAAUUCUGUGCACCUCCAAACCCAACUCUACCUGAGCAGCAUGAUCCAACACUUGCACAUGAUGCAUCUGGAUCUACUUCAACCCUAGUUUCAGCUAUAUCAGUGAGCAGAAAAAUCCUUCCAGCGAUGACUCCAAGUGAAGGGGUUUAUGGAAGGUCCCUCUGGAACUUACCAUGAAAAGAAUUCUUCCCUGAUACAUUUCUGGUCAUAUAAUGGGGUAGGAUGCAACAAAAACUUUCUGAAACUUCUGAAGGCCUGUGUUUCAUUGUCUUUUCAAAUUGCAUGUUUCCUUCCAUCUACUUUGAUUUCUACAUUCUCAUACAAAAGUCAACUUUAUAAAUGUAAACUUUCAUUACAGAAACAUCCUUAUACUUAGAGAUAUAUUUAAAUUUCCCUCCUACUCAUUGUUUAUCUUUUCUUUAUUAUUAUUUCUAUUUAUUUAUUUUUGGUACCAGGGAUUUAACUCAGGGGCACUUGACCACUAAUACACAUCCCCAGCCUUAUUAUUUUAUUUUUGUAUUUUCUAUUUUAUUCAUAGACAGGGUCUCACUGAGUUGCUUAGUGCCUUGCCAGCUGCUGAGACCACCAUGCCUGGCUAUUUAAUAUUUUUUUUCAUCCACAUUAUGAAAAGCUAAACUGUUUUAUUAUUUUUGUCCAUAAGUCAUUAGUUAAUCUCUUUAAUAAAUGUUUUACCAUAACACCUAUAAUUUUUUUUAUAUAAUUAGUAUGUGAAAUUAUAUAUACCUUAAGAAAUUUUGAUUUAUCAACUCUAUGGUAAAAACCUAUAAAAUUGGCAAUAUUUAAAGUAUUUGACUUAUACCAACAAUUGAAUACAUAUUAUAUGAAUCAGAGAAAUAUAUGCUUUCUUAGGUCAAUCUUUUUUUUUUUUUAAAUAUGAAAGAGAACAUGUAUGCUGGGGAAAUCACAUUCAGCAAGGGCACAAGCACAACUGAUAUGGUAGGAAAACUCAGGAUUAUUUCAUCAGAAGACCCAGAUGAUCUCUGAAAUUCUGGGUCCCAAGCUGAGGUUGCAGAGGGCUUUUAUAGAAAAAAAAAUUGACAUCCUUUCUUAACCAUUACAACAUUGGUGGGUUUGAAUUCAUGACCAAAAACUAUGAGUGCAAGUUCUUGCAAUAAACAGUUUACAGCAGCAGAACAAAGGCAGAGAAAAAUCUGCAAGUGAUAACUGGAAGUGGUCAUUACCACAUGGAGUAACUUCUCAAGAUAUCUGUAAGCUUACAUUUCUAGAAGCCAUAUUUCAAGCAAAGCCAUGCUUAAAAAGUUAUAGUUCAAACAGCAGUGAAGUGACAUAUUAACCUAUACUCACACUAGCAAUUAAGUGACACAGCUACAAUCCUACAAAGAUCAGAAAUUUAUAAGGUGCCAUUUCAUUCUGUAUUGUAAUAAUAAAAUAAAAUAUAUUUUUAUAAAAUUUUUAAAAAGUCAAUAUUAUGUGAUUUUAUCCUCAUUUUUAACAAUUAAAACUCAGUAUUUUAACUCAGAAAUAACUUAUAUAAGUUUCAAUUACUUGUUGUAACACAAGGGUAAGUUAAUUAUGUAACUUGUAAACAUUUAUAUUCACCUAAUUUAAUUCUUACAAUGUACCUAGAUUACUUAAAAACUAUGACCUUGUUUUAGUUAGAUUUUUCACUACUAUGACUAAAGAACCCAUCCAGUCCAAUCAUGGAAGAGGCAAGUUUAUUUCAGGGUUCAUGGUUUCUGAAGUCUUAGUCCAUAGAAGGCUGGCUCCAUUCCAUGGGGCUUGAGGUGAGGCUAAACAUCAUGGUGGGAGAGUGUGGUAGAGCAAAGCAGCUUACAUCAUGAUGAUCAAAAAGCAGAUAGAAAAAUGUAUAUACCCAAAGCCAUUCCCCAAUUUCUACCUCCUCCAGUUGUACCAUACCACUUCAGGUACCACUCAGUUAAUCCCUAUCAGAGGAUUAAAUCACUGGGCUAAGAUUCUUAAAACCAAAUCAUUUCAUUUCUGAACCUUCUUGUAUUGUCUCACAUGUGAGCUUUUGGGGGACACAUCACAUCCAAACCAAAGCAUUCCACUCCUGGCCCCCAAGAGCUCAAAACCAUGUCAUAAUGCAAAAUACAUUUUAUCCCUUUCCACAAGUCUCCACAAUCUCAACAGUUCCAUGAUUCUCAGAGUUCAAAUCCAAAGUCUUCUCUGAGGCUCAAGAAAAUCUUGCAUUGAGAGCUCCUACAAAUGUAAUAGCAAUCUACAAGUAUCUAAUAUAUAAUGGUAUAAACAUUUUCAUUCACAAAAUUAGGGGCCUAGAAAGAAGGGAUAAGACUAAAGCAAGACCAAAAUCCAGAAGGGCAAGCAAGUCCUAUAACUCCACAUCCAGAACCUUGGGCUCAUGACUUGUUAAUGUUCUCUUCAAAGGGCAUAUGCACCUCCAACCCUCUGGCCUUGUUAGUUGCAGCCCAAGUGGCCUUUUUGUUGGCUUGUCUCUGCUCAAUUCGUGUAGCUUUCCUAGAACAAUGUCUCACAUUCCUGACAUUUCUUAAUCUCCUGGUUCUAGACUGCAACUUUACCUUCCUCUUUAUGUCUUUAAACUUUGACCUCUCAAGGGGAAGCCCACUGUGACUCUACCCUGCUGCACUUUGGCCUUCUUGGCCUUCUUUUAAAAUCUUGGUUGAAACAUCCAUGAUCCCUAACUCCAGCAUUCUGCAUAUCUGCAGAACAAGCACCUUGUGGUUGAGGCCAAGGUUUGCCACCAUUUUGAGCAUUAGCAAAGGCUUCAGAGUCCCUGGCUGCAGCAGCCUCUGAGGAUCUGGGAGGCUGAGCAUAUUGAAAAAACUUCCUAGGCCUAGUUUUACACAGGGCUUUCUAAUUCAAUUUUUCCAAAUGUUUGCUCUGCUUUCUGCUCAGAUUAUCACAAUAAAUUUGGCUAAAGCAAUGUCCAUGCCACCUCCUGAUUGCUAUGUUGCCUAGACAUUUCUUGCACCAGAAUAAGAAGUUCAUUGCUUCUAAAAUAAGCCUCAAUAAGUCUCUGGACAUGGGCAAAAAAAAAAAAAAAACUUCUCACAAGGAGCAUAACACAAAUGGCCUCUACUCCAAAUUCUACUACAGCCCUCCUUUCCUGAACCCUCUUGAGCCCUGUCUUCACUGACUGUGAUCUUAUUGGCAUUCUGGUCUUAUGAGCUCCCACCAGAAUUUGCCUUGAAGCUCCACUUAAGCAUUUCCAACAUGCAUUGCUAAGCUUCUCAAAAUUCCUCCCACCAAUUCCAGGAGCUCAAAAAUCUUCUGAACCACAUAGUCAGGUUAAGCACAGCAAUGACCCCAUUUCUCGGUGCCAAUUUCUGUUUUAGUCAGCUUUUCCCCUACUGUGACUAAAAGGCCCCACCAGAACAAUUGUAGAGGAGGAACAUUUAUUUGAGAGCUCAUAGUUUAAGAGGUCUUAGUCCAUAAAAGGCCAGCUUUAUUCCACAGGGCUUGAGGUGAGGCUGAACAUUAUGGCAGAAGAGUAUGGCAGAGGGAAUCAGCCUACAUCAUGGUGAUCAGGAAGUAGGCAGAUCCCAUUAGCCAGAUAAGAUAUAUACCUAAAGUCAUGCCCUAAUUCCCACCUCCUCCAGCCACACCAUACUACUUCAGUUACCAUUCGGUUAAUCCCUAUCAGAGAAUUAAAUCACUAAUCCUUAACCCAAGAUUAAAGCACUGGGUUAAGACUCUUACAAUCCAAUCAUUUUGCUCCUGAACCUUCUUUCAUUGUUUCACAUAUGAGCUACUGUGGGACUCAUCACAUCCAAAUCACCAUAACAGGCCUUAAAAUAAGAAAGUCAUCAUUUCAAGUUACUUCCUUAUUAAGUAUUUUCAUAGCAUGUCAGUGUUAAGACUUUGUCUUUGUAGACCAUUUUAAUAAUGCUAUCAUAAUAUGCCAAACAUAUAUUACAACACAUUGCUUUUAGUGGUGUUAUAGAGUGCUUACAUGAUAAGUUGUUAUAAAUGCUUCAUGUACCUUAAUUCUCAAAGAAAUCCCAUAGGAUGGGUGCAACAUUAUCCACAUUUCAAAGAAGUUUAAACUCUUACCCAGGCUCACAUUGAGGCAAGUGAUAGAUUCAAAAUUCCAACAUAGUCUGUCUGGAAGUUCAGUGUUUUUCAAGAGAUCAUUUUUAAAUGAAUUUGCCUUUUAUUAUAUUCACACUUAUACUCUUGAUGCUUCACAGUUUUAUGUUUCCAUUGUUUGACUUAGGUGGCUACUUUUCAACUAACAAUAUUACCCUUUUCCUUUAAUAUUUGUUAUUUGAAGAAACACCUCAUUUUAAUCUGGUUGAACCUGUUCUUGACUUAAGGGCAUUGAAUUUUCAAAUCUGAGACUUAUUAGUUUACCAAUUUCUUAUGUCAAUGCAAUUACUAUUAUUUCAGUAAUUAGUAACGUAUAAAAAUCAUUUAGUAUUUUUGAAUAAAAUUGGAGAAGUUGAAUUCUAUUCCACACUGUUUACACAGAGACUUCUUGCAUGAGUUUUUUUUUUUUUAUGUAAAUAAAGAGGUAUAGGUUGAAUCUAAAGUGUCCCCCAAAGGCUCAGGUGCUGGAAAUUUGACCCACAGCUAAUGGUUCUGUUCAAGGAGACAACAACUUUAGGAGGGAAGGUCUAAAUUGAUGAAAUUUACAGAUUCCUGUUUGAAUUAAGAUGAACUGUUUUUCUGCUGUGAGAAAAAAAUCUAAAGGGCUACAGUCCUCCAACUGAUAGGGAACACAAAGGGUAAUAGUGGAAAUCACCCACUCCUCAGGUAUUUAUACAUAUGAACAUUUCUUUUGUUUUAUUUGACUUUGUUGUCCCUGCCUUCUCUACUAAGCAGAAAAGGUGGGUAAUUGAGAUAUAACCUUGGAAGGUGUAUUGUUUAACACAUUGCUUACACUCAUAAGGCUUUCCUCUAGGAUAAAUUUAUAGAUUUUUUGUUGUUGUUUUGUUGUUGGUACCAGAGUUUCAACCCAGGGGUGCUGAACCACUGAGCCACAUCUCCAACCCUAUUUUCCCUAUUUUAUUUAGGGACAGGGUCUCACUAAAUUGCUUAAGCUGUCUUUGAAAUUGUGAUCCUCCUUUCUUAGCCUCACAAACAUCUGGGAUUAUAGGCAUGCAUCACUGCACUUGGCUUGGUCAUGGUUUUGAGUGGAAUUUUAAUAAGCCAAGGCUUUACCACAUUGUUUCCAUUCAUAGUGCUUCUUUCAAAUAUGAAUUUUUUCAUGUUUCCUAAUGGAGCUAGAAUAAGUAAAAGCAUUUCUAUAUUGUUUACUUUAUAGGGAUUGUCUUUAAUAUAAAUUUUUAUGAAUAUAAAUAAAACUGUAAUAAGUGAAGGCUUUACCACAUUGAUUAUAUCCAUAAAGAUUCUCUCCAGUGAGAUCAAGAGAUCAUGUUUUUGAAAGUUCUUGAAAAAUUGAACUCUUCCCUAUGUAGCAUUCAUUUCUAAAUGAAUUACCAUUGUGCCUUACCUUGUCUAUGAUCAUUUGAGAGAAGUUCUUGUGACUUCUAUCCACACUCUUAUCUUUCAUAUGGCUUCUUGCCAGAGUCAGUUACAAUGUGCCUAUUGAGUAAUAGAUGGCAAGAAGACUUUUCCAUAAAUACUGUAUUCACAUGUAUUUUUCUUUUUAAGUUUGAGGUUUAAACACUAUAUAUAAUGUGUGUGUGUGUGUGUGUGUGUGUGUGUGUGUGUGUGUGUGUGUACUGGAGACUGAACCUAAUGCCUUGUUAAUGUGAGUCAAGCACUCUACCAACUGAGCUAUAUCCCCAGUCCAACACAUUAUCAUUUUUAUUUUAAAAGUGCCUCAAUCAUGAUUUCUCAGAAAAUUACAGUUUUAUUGUUGUUUUUAAUGUUUUUGUAUUAAUAGAAUUUUACUUACAUUAUUACCAAUAUAAGGGGAAGUCUGUAUGUCAUUUCUAAAUUGUUUGAAAGGAAAUGCACUGAUUAGUUGACUGACUGCUUCCCAAUAGUUACAAAAAAAGUGGUAUCCAUUAAUACACUUUCUUAGUAGUGUUUGCGAAUCUACUGUAUUUAAAACACUAAACAUCUAUAUUACAUUGAAGUAUAUCUUUCUGGUUAUAUAUUAAAAAAAAAACUUCUAGGAGUAAAUAUUUCAAAUUGUGCUUAUUUGGUUUGUUUGCUCGUUUCUAAUAUUACCUGGUGUGCUAAGAUUUUCUCAAGGAAAACUGCCUCUUACAAGUACAGAUUACUUUAGACUUUUCACAAGAUAUUGUUCAGAUCAUUAAUGUUCGGAUCCUCUGAUUUCCUAAACUGAAAAACCAAGAGAAUCAUUAUAAAUUAUUAACAAUUAUAAAAAAUAUGGGAUUUGAUGCACUAGACAAUGACAUCAAGCUGGAUAUAUUUCCUAAAGUAUUUGAUUUUGUAAAUAAAUGUUAUUCUAGACUGGGGAUACAGAUCAAUUUGUUGAAUGUUUGCCUCACAUGCCCAAGGCCCUGGGUUCAAUCCCUAGUGCUCACACACGCGUGUGUAAAUGCAUGCACUAACACACACACACACACACACACACACACACACACAAAUGCUAAUCUUACCUAGGUUUCUGAAGACUUCCUGCAUCACAUCUCUGCAUGGAUUUUACUGGGCAGGAUCCAGCAAAGUCUAAUCCUCCAGAAUGAAGUUAAUAGACAUUUCCUUUUUGGUUUCUGAAUUUUAAAACAUUACACAAAUGUAUAGUAGAGGCUGUGUAAGUUUGAUAUAAGUAGAAUAUAUACUCAAAAUGUCCAAGAUAUAUAUUAUAUAUAUACAUGUGUGUGUGUGUGUGUGUGUGUGUAUUCUAUAAUUUGGUCAUCAAAACUUAUAAGUAGAAUAUAUACUCAAAAUCUCCAAGAUAUAUAAUAUAUAUAUAAUCUCUAAGUCUCUCUCUCUGUCUCUCUGUCUUAUAUAUAUAUAUGUGUGUGUGUGUGUGUGUGUAUUCUAUAAUUUCGUCAUCAAAACUUAUACUGUGUGCAGUUUGUCAUACUCCAGCAUCCCAAUACUAGAACUAAACUACUCAGAAAAGCAACAGCAGAGCACACCAUUCUUAUUGGUAAGUACAGGGAGUAAGAUGUACUCCUUGGUCAUCCCUAACUUUUUUUUAAUAUGUUCUAACAAAGCUGUACUACUUCCUGUGAAGAAGAAAGAUAAUAUUAGGCUUCCCCAUAAUACCUAUCCUUAGAAAGGCCUAUUGAAAAAUUUGUCCCUUUGCUCAGAAUUUUAGAACAGUCUCAACAACCAAAGCAAUAAGAGACUCAUGGUGCCUAAGUAGUUUUAUGCAUUUUCUGAACGGCUUUUCUUAUGAACAUCUAUAUUUUGUUCAACUCUUAUGGCAGAACAUAGAGGAUUAGCUGUCAUCCUUCCUCAGAAAGAAACCUUUGCACAUGUAUUUAAUAAACACCCCUCACACAAAAUUUUUCACUUAGAUUGUCACAAUGUGUUAGUUGGAGAUUGAGCUCAUCCUACAUGAGUAGAUCAAGAGAACAAUUGGAAGUUUGCAAGUGGUUUACUCCAGACCAGAUUAAACCAAAUGAUAAGCAAGAAUAAUAAUUAAUAAACAUAUGAUUUUAUAAUGCAUAUUGUUUAAUGUCAAACCAGAUGUUUGAAUGGUAUUCUUAUCAAAUUUCAAAAAUCUACAAGACUCUAUAGUAGUCAGCAGAAACUACUCUCCCAAGCCUAAUGUUGAAUGUAUAAAAAUUUUCUUAACAACAGACUAUUAGCUUAUCUGAUAUAUAUUUAUGUGCCACACAAUAAUGCUUCAUUUAAGGAUAUUUUGUUCAAUAACAGGAUACAUAUACAUCAGCUCACCUGCUCUAAAUAGAUGGGUAAACUGUUAUAUAUUCAUGUAUAUGUCAGGUUAUAUAGUAUCCUGAACUGAGUUCUCUGCAUUCUUGCCAAUCCACAAUAUUAAAGAUGUUCCUUACAUGUCUGUUAUUUGUUAUAUUAACUUCCCUAAAUGUACUGAGGGACAGAAAACUUCUUGCUGAAGUGUGGCAGAGAAUAGAUAUAUCAGAUUAAUUCUGUGUGUUUUUAAGAAAUUGACAGAAAUUAUGAGCAAGGAAUAUUCCACUCACCAAGGAACUUAAUUGUCUAACAUGAAACUUUUUGGUGAGUAUAAAUUAGCAAAAGUAGCUAUGUAUGUUGAAUACACUCCCAGGAAAAUUAUAUGUUUUGAUAGGAACAAGACCAUCAAGGGUUCUGAGGCAAGAGAAGGACUUUGACAUUGACAGUCAUAAGUAUGUCCUCUGGAAUACUCUGUAAUUAUUUUUCUUACUCCAUUUCAGGAACUUCACAUGGAAGAAAUACAUCUGUGCAUUUUCCAUUUAUCUAAGUCUGAUUAUAAUUUAUACUAUAUGUUUCUGGCCUUGCAGCUCAAGUUUUUCCAGUAUAAGAAUAUUUUUUUUUAAUUUUAUUGAUUUUAUUUUUUUUAAAUACAUGACAGCAGAAUGCAUUAGAAUUCUUAUUACACAUAUAGAGCAUAAUUUUUCAUAUCUUUGUAUGUAAAGUAUGUUCACACCAAUUCAUGCCUCUAUACACGUACUUUUUUGCAUUAUAAUUCUUAUUACACAUAUAAACCACAAAUAUUCAUAUAUCUGUUUUUAUAUAAAGUAUGUUGACACCCAAUUUAAGUCUUCAUACAUGUACUUUGGAUAAUGAUGUCCAUCACAUUUUACCAUCCUUGCUAAUCUCCUGCCCCCUCCUUUUCCCUCCCACCCAUCUUUCCUAUCUAGAAUUCAUCUAAUAACAAUAAUUCUUGAUGUCACAAUGAUUUAGCUAAAGGUGGAAACCCUGAAUUUGGGGAAUUUUCAAAUCAUCCAGGGCACGAAUAUAAUUUAAUGGGUUUGUGUGGGUAUUGAAUCUCACAAUUUUUUUUAUCUGUUCAUCUGUUGAAGAACACCUCAAUUAGUUGAGCUGCUGUAUACAUUGACUUGACGUGGUUCUGUCAUUGUUAAUGCUGAUUUUAAGUUCUUUGAGUACAUACCAAGAAGGGCAAUAAUUGGGUAAAAUGAUGGUUCCAUUCCAAGUUUUUUGGAGGAAUCUCCAUAUAACUUUCCAAAGUUUGCAUUGCACCAGCAAUGUAUGAGUGUACCUUUUACCACACAUCUUUGCCAAAAUUUAUUGUUGCUUGUAUUCCUAAAAAUUGCCAUUCUGACUGGGGUGAGAUGAAAUCUCAGUGUAUUUUUGAUUUGCAUUUCUUUAAUUGCUAAAGAUAUUGUACAUAUAUUUAUAUAUUUGUUGAUUAGUUGUAUUUCUUCUUCUGUGAAGUGUCUUGUUCAGCUCCUUAGUCCUCUUAAUGACUGGAUUAUUUAGUUUCUUGGUGUUAAGUUUUUUGAGUUCUUUAUAUAUCCUGGAGAUUAAUGCUUUACCAGAUUUUCAGGUGGAAAUAUUUUCCUCCCAUUCUGUCAUCGUUCUGUUCAUGUUCUUUUCUCCUUUGCUAUGAAAAAAAUAUAUUUUUAGUUUGAUUCCAUCUCAUUUACUGAUUCUUGAUAAUAUUUCUUGUGCUUUAGGAGUCUUGAUAAGAAGUUAGUUCCUAAGCUGACAUGAUGUAGAUCUGGGACUACUUUUUUUUCCUAUGUGGCACUGUGUUCUAGUGCCUAUGUCUUUGAUCCNCCAUAUAAAUAUUCAUGAUUCUUUCAAGACCCAUGGUAACCCACGAUGAAUCCUCUAAAUCUAUGCCAAUGCACAAUUUUAAAUAGAUUUAUUGCAUGACAGUUAUCUGCCAGACUGUGUUUCUUGAAUAUACUGAUGGAAAAAAAUGUUCUUCAUGAAGAGCUGCCAAGCAGCACAUAAAUUCAACCAGGUAAUUUUGUGUACUUUUUGGAAAAUGAGAGUAAUUCUGGGUAAGAUACAUUCAAUCAGCCAGGAACUGGUUGAUUAUCAUAAUAGAAAUCUCCUUAGGAGAAUAAAAAAGUCAGAGUAGAUAAUUACAAUUAAAAAUCCACAUAGAAGCAUGUAUGUUGUGACACACAGAAACUCACUGUGUAUAAUGAGGCAGAAAGAAUACCUUGACAUAAACAGUGUUAUGAUUUAGAUGUGAGGUGUUCCCCAAAAGCUCAUGAAUGACAAAAUGCAAGAAAGUUUAUAUGUGAAAUGAUUGGGAUGAGAUUCUUAACAUAAUCAGUGCAUUAAUAUUCUAAUAGGGAUUAGCUGGGUAAUUGUAGGCAUUUUAAGAUGUGGCUAGAGAAGGGGGGUCAUUGAGGGCAUGAUUUUCGAAUUUAUAUUUUGUUUGUGGUAAGAAAUGCUCUCUCCUCCCCUCUUCCUUGUGGUUAUGUCCUGAGGCAAUUUCUUGUACCACAUCUAUUUAUUAUGAUCUUCUGGCAUACUUUGGGCAAAGAGUAAUAAAAUGAGCUGUCUAUGGACUGAGGCCUCUGAAAUGAUGAGCACCAAAUAAACUUCCUUCUCUGAAAAUCCCCAUCAAAAUACAAUGAAAAGCUUCAAAGAAUUAGGAAAAAAAGGUCCUACACUUUGUUUGGAAGAAUAAAUGAUCCAUAAUAGCCAAAUCAAUUCUGAGCAAGAAAAGUGAUUCAGGAGGCAUCACAGUAUCUUUUGCAAAUUAUACUGCAGAGCUAUAUUAGCCACAACAUCAUGGUACUAGCAUCAAAGUAGACAUAAAGACCAAUGGAAUGGAAUGGAAUAGAAUAGAAUAGAAUAUGGUGACAAAGCUGAACACCUACAGCCAUCUGAUACUUGAGUUGGAGAACAUAGAGACUUUAUAUUAAAGGCAUUGUGAAAAAAUGGAUAUGUAUAUGUAGAGGAAUCAACUUAUAUUCCUAUCUUUCAUCCUGCACAAAACUCAUAUCAAAAUGGAUCAAAUACUUAGAAAUAACGUAAGAAACCUUGAAACUUCUAGAAGAGAAAGGGUUAACACUGCAUCACAAAGUUGCAGGCACUGACUUCCUCAACAAAACCCCUAAAGCCCACAAUGUAAAACCAAAAAUCAAUAAGAUGGAUGUCACCAAAUUAAAAAGCCUUUGCACAGUAAAGGAAAUGAUUAAAGGGGGGAGGUUAUGGAAUGGGAGAAAACCUUUGCCAGCUACUCCUUUGACAAAGGACUAAUAUGCAUAAUAUAUAAAGUCAAAAAUUUCAAUGCCAAACAGAAAACAAAUAGUCCAAUCAAUAAAUGGAUAAAAUAAACAUAAACAUCACAAAACAAGAAACACAAAUGGCCAAAAAAUAUAUGAAAUGUUCAGCAUCUCUAGCAAUUAGGGAAGUGCAAAUCAAAAUUACACAAAAAAUUCAUCUCACUCCAUUCAGAAUGUCAAUUAAUAAAGAACAUAAAUAAUAAUAAAUGCCAGCAAGUACAUGGGGAAAAAGAUACAUUCUUACAUUGUUGGUGGGACUGAAAAUUAGAACAGCUGGAAAUCAAUAUGUAGAUUCCUGAAAAAACUAGGAAUUUGUCCAGAGAGGUGUUUAUUCAAAAGAUCUAAAAUGAGCAAACUAUAACUUUACAGCCACUAUAAUGUUUGUAGGACCACAUUCAAACAGCCAAAUUGUAGAAUCAACCCAGAUCCCAUCAACAGACAAGUGGAUUAAGAAAAUGUGGUGUAUAUAUUCACAAUGAAGUUGUACUCAGCUAUAAAGAAAGAAAUAAUGGCCUUUGCCAGUAAAUGGAUGGAAAUGGAGAAAAUCAUGCUAACUCAGAAAACAGGCAGACAUAUGUUUUUUCUCACAUGCAGAAGCUGGAGCAAAAUAAUUGAAAGACACUGGUGGGAAAGAGGACUGGAUAUCAUCAUGAUAUAUGAAAGAUUAUUGUAGUAGAUGUAGGAAAAUGAUGGGGAGGAAGGGAAAGAGAAACAUAAAAAGAUGAAUUUAACAAAAUCAUGUUAUAUACACAUAAAGAUACUAAGGGAAUUUCUUAUGCACAUGUAGAAGAAAGGGAAAUUUAGCAGAGUUGAGGAGAAAGAAUUGGGGGAGAAAGAAAAAAAAAAGAACAGAUGGAACUUGAAAUCCAAUUCCUUGCAUGUAUGCUUUUGUCAAAAUAAACCUAAUUAAUAUGUAUAAUUAUGAUGCCUUCAUAAACAAUUUUUUAAAAAAGAAUAUCCCUUCCUUUCUUUUACCUAUCAGACUAGUUUGCUUUGAUGUAGUGAGCAAAAAACAUAUUCUUUCUGCUUGUCAUCAAAGUAAGGCAUCAAUUCACCCCAGUUAUUCUAUAUGUUUUAUGGAUACUCACAGAAACUUUAACUAGUAAACAUUUUAAUCUCCAAGUAACAUGUCAUAUUAGAAAACCCUAAUUAUCAUAUUAGAAAACCCUUUCGGUGAGUAGAAGAGAGGCAGUGUAGCUGAGUACAAUAAAUACACCUUCUGGAAAUUUAUAUAUAUGAUACAUGCAAGCCUCCUAAUACUACCAAGGUAGGAAGAAAAAUUUGGUUUGUUCAACUAUUGGUAUGUCCUUAGAAAUAUUUCCAGAAUAUUUUCCCCCAAUCACAGUGUCCUUAUCUUGAGCAAAUAUAUCUAGGCAAUUCCCUUUUACCUGACUUUUUUCUGGGAACAUUGACCACAAAUGUUUUCUUUGAUAUAAGAGCCAGUUUCAGUUGUGCCACAAAAACGUGUCUUGAUUUCAUAAAAAGUUUGCUGUAGGCAGGUUCUGGGUGUGGGGCUUGGCAAAAAUAAUGGGCCAAACUUUAUGCCAGCUGUGAAACAGUUUAUCUUCAAAGUUUCUCUGUGAAUACGUUGGGAGAGAAAUUUAGGCCUUGCUCUGAAAAUGAUGAACUUGGAAGAGUGAAUAAUACUGAGUUUCAGGCAGAGCAGAUCAUAGAUGGAUGGCUCCAUACUGCUAAGUGCCACUUUUGUCAUAACUAAGGUGCACUGUAUGAAGACUGUUGUAUUUGUUAGCUUUUUUUUAAUGCUGUGGCUUACAGCCUAAUUAACAAUUUAGAGAAAUGAAAGUUUCUUUGGGCUCAUGGAUUUAAAUCUUCAGUCUAUAAUGGGCUGGCUCUAUUUCUCUGGACCUAGAGUGAAUCAGAAUAUCUGGGUGGAAGUACAUUGUGCUGAAAAUCUGCUUACCUAAUGACAGCCAGGAAGCACAGGGUGAGCAGGCAAAGCCAGGAACAAAAUAUGUAAUUCCUAGAGUAUGCCCCUAGUGACACACUUACUUUAAUCAGGCUCCAUGUAUCUAAGGUUACUAUCCAGUACAGUAGUACUCUCAAAUUAUCAAACCAUCAACUGCAUUAAUGCACUGAUUAGGUUAUAGUUUUUAUAAUCUAACAAUUUUAUCUCUUAGUAUUUCUGUAUUAACAGGGGAUUCUUUGGAGCACAAACUAUAUCUAAACCAUAAUACUCCUUUUCUAACCCUCCUAAUGCUAAUUUGCAUCAUAACAAAGCAAAACAUUUUGCCCACCUUCAAGAGUCCCCAAAGUAAGAAUACUUCCAGGAUUCCCCAAAAGUUCAAGUUCAAAGCAUACUUAGAGACUGGAGGUGAAUUCUUGGCCAUGAGGCCUUUUAAAAAUCAAAAGCAAAAUAUACACAUCCAAUAUAUAAUGUCACAGUGUACAAAAUCCAACUCCAAAAGACAUGGAUAUAGACAUAGAAAAAAGGAAUGUGAUCAAAAUAAGACCUAAAUCCAGUUGGGGAAAACAUUAGGUCUAGUAGCACCAAAUCUAGCAUCUGGGGUACAUUGGCAAUGAAAUGUGCUCCCGAAAGAACUCAGGCACCCCACCCCUGUGACUUUGUUUGUUGCAGCUUAUAUGCCUCUCCCUUAGGCUGGCUUUGUCCGCAGCCAAUAGUUUUCAUUGGUACAUAUUCCAUGUGCCACGCUAAAUCUAGAACAACUCCACUGCAGCACUGCCUCCCUUCUCACACUUUCAUCUGUCAUACUUGCAAGAUUUUCACCCUGGUAUGUUUUUCCUGACCUUCAAGGGUUUGUUUGGAAAUCUUGAUGGAAGCUCUAGGGUCCUUUAACUCCAGUAUCCUGCAUUCCUUCAGAAAACUAAGCCUAUCGGUGAGGCCAAGGUCUGUUUCCCAGCUUGUGCAGCAAUAGCUAUGUGUUCUUGGACCACAGCUGCAAAGGACUUUUGAAUGCCUGGGCAGCUGAGCAUGUUGAAACGAAUCCUGAGAUUCAUUUCAGCAUCCCUGUGCAGUACAGUUCUCCAAAGGUCUUUUUUAUUUUUAUUUUUUCUCAUUUGUGAAGUAGUCAAUAUAUUUAUUUUUAGAACAAAUCCCAUGUUUAAAGGUAUUUCCACAUAAAAUUACAGUAUAUGUUUUCAGCAUACACAAACUAUGAAACACAUAUACAACAGAUAGAUAGAUAUAUAAAAUGUGGCAUAUAUACACAAUGGAGUAUUACUGGGUUCUUAAGAUGAAUUUAUGAUAUUUGCCAGUAAAUGGAUGGAUGUGGAAAUCAUCGUGCUAAGAGAAAUAAGACAGUCCCACAAAACCAAAGUCAAAUAUAUUUGCUGAUAGGUGGAAUAUAAUCCACAAUAAAUAGGGGAAUAGAAAUUCAGUAGAUUAGAAAAAGAGAAAUUAAGGGAAGGGAGGAGGGUUAGGAAAAAGAAAGUGGAAUGAAUCUGGCAAUUUUUUUUUUUUUUUUAAAGAAAAGAAAAUUUUAUUAUAAGGAUACUGGGAAGUCUCACAAAAAUAGAACAACAAAAUGGCUGCACACCCACUACAGGUAAAAGCAGAAUGUAUUUUCUGGGAGAUGCAGGGAGGAUGCAUUCCCUUCACAGUCAUCUCUGCUUCUCUCCAGUUUCAGUAUAACUCACAUGGUUGUUGUUAUUGAUUUUCCUCUAUCAAAUGGCAAAAACAAAGCAGUUGAUAGUUUUCUUUUUUUUAUUGUUUGUUCAAAACAUUACAAAGCUCAUGUAGCAGAAUACAACAGUCAUUAAUAUGGUAUUAUGUAAAAAUGUGGAUGUGUAACCUAUGUGAUUCUGCAACUUGUAUUUGGGGCAAAAGUGGGAGUUCAUAACCCACUUGAAUCAAAUGUAUGAAAGAUGAUAUGGCAAUUUUUUUUUGAGAUGGAGAGAGAGAAUUUUAAUAUUUUCAGUUUUUAGUUUCAGCGGACACAAUACCUCUGUUGGUAUGUGGUGCUAAGGAUCGAACCUGGGCUGCACGCAUGCCAGGCGAGCGCGCUACCACUUGAGUCACAUCCCCAGCCCCCUGGCAAAAUUUUUUAAUGUACACAUAUAAAUAUAUAGUGAAUCCCACUAUCAUGUAGACCCACAAGAAUGAAGUCAUAAUUAGAGUAAGAUAUAUUCCAUGCUUGUAUAAUUAUAUCUCAUGUCUCAUAAAGGUGUUUUCACUUCUACACUCUUUGUCCUUCAGUGGGUGUGGCCUUGCUGAUUGCUGGGUUGUCCUCAAAGCACAUUUUCUAGGUUCUCUGAGCACGAUAUUAGCCUCCUGUUUUUAAACAACAUUAAUCUCUUCAGAAAUAAAACUUCACUUUACAUAUAUUUUUAUGGCCAUAUUGCAAAACUUAAAAAAUUUUGCUCUGCUUUCUGCUUCUGAUUCUCAAAUAAACCUUAUUAAAAUCUUUCAGAAACACCUAGGCCACCUAUUGAAUAUUGUGCUGCCUUGAAAUAUCCUCCACUAGGAUAAUUAGUCCAUCAACAUUAAAGUUAUCCUGAAAGAGAGUCUCAUGAUAUGGGCAAAGUGUCAAAAAAUUCUUUGCCAGAAUGCAACACAAAUGCUCUUGUCCAAGACUUAUGUUGUAGUUAAGUGAUAUAGAACUUUGGGGCUUAAUCCCAAGCACCACACAUUAAAAAAAAAAAAAAAAAAGUUGGAUGACCUAAAGAUCCAGAAAUGCCAGCACUCCAUGAACAAUUAAAUCAGCCAAUUGAAGAGAUACCUCUGCUUUUGUGUUUAGUGCAAACAUUGUUCUUUAUAUUCAAGACAGGGACUCACUAUAUGUGCCUAUCAAUGAUUAAAUGAGUAUAAAUAUUGUACUUAUAUACUAUUAUUAUUUAGUUAUAUAAAAUAUUUUGUCUCUUAAAGUGUUAUAAGAUAUAUAUGCAGGACUUUGCAGUAAGUAAAAUAUGGCAGGCAGAGAGUCAGUUGUAGGAGCUUUUGAUUCACAUGUGGAAGUCAAAAAUUUAAUGAGUAAAAUUUUACUCACCAGGCACUGUGUUUUGUAUAGGGCUGACACUGUUAGUCAAAGUCUCCAUAUUUUUUAUUUUAGUGGGCAUAAGAAGGUCAAGAGUUUUGUUUACCACAUGGUGAGUGUAGUGUGUAUUAUGUUCUUCAUAAAUACUAAUAGAAGGAAUACAAUACCUUUUAAGUGCAAAACUGAUAAUUAUAUAAAAUAAUGCAUGUGCUGAAUCAUUUUAGUCAUUUUACCUUGUAUAAAUAGUAUAAGAUACCAUAAUAUAUGUAGUAAAUGCAUAAAGUUGUAUUUCAUUAAAAGAAAUCAUCAUAUCACACAAAUUUAAAACUAUAAAAAUCAAUUUAUUAUUCUUGAUUGCCAUAUUUUGAUUUCAUCCAAGUAUUAUGGCCAUAGGCUAUGCAAGGUUUCUUUAGUCUUUUAAAUAUGUUUUUAGGGAAAAUUUUAUAGACAUAUAUGUAUAUAUUUCUUAGUAAAAUUUUUGUUCAUAUUUCUUUUUAAGAGUCCAUAACCACUUUACCCUUGUUGAAUAUUUAUGGUAUUAUCACCCAAAAUCUAUCAGUUAUUUUUAUGUCUCUAUGUCAUGGUAGAUAAAAACCAGUUUUCAGACACUCUUUAAAAAAGCCACAGAUAUUUAUAUAUGUUUUACAUUUUCCUUAUUGUACUGAGAGUGAAGGUAACUGGUAGAUAUUUACUAAAUACAGAAUGCUACCUUAUGGAGGACAAAAGUCUAUGGAUGAUAAAAGUAACAUACUUUCCUUCUCUCUAUUGUAUUACUCUACUUAGUGAUGUAUUACUCUUGGAUACUGUGGUCUCUUCAAAAAUUUGGGUAAUAUUCCCAAGGUAAUUUUGUCUAUACAUUUUUAUUGAACUGAUAUAUUUCUGGAUUGAUGAAAACUUUGGAUUUACUAAUCUGCUACACUCCUGAUGUACUUAUUUUACCUUAACUUCAUGUUGUGUAUGCAAAUAUAUUUAUCCCAGUCUAGUAUGUAAUUUUUUAAAAAUUUUUUGUUUACUUCAGACAUGACUCCUUAUCACACCGAAGAAUAUUCACCAGAAAAGGGCAUAAAACAUAUAUUUCACAAAGUGAUAAGUGGGAAAUACAGAAAUUUUUAUCUUGACUAUUUACAAGAAAAGAAAAUAUGGAAAACUAUAAGUGAGAGUAAACAUCAGGAA